This 697-nucleotide ribosomal RNA is filed under the name uncultured archaeon. Its description in RNAcentral is "bacterial SSU rRNA". It matches the Rfam family "Archaeal small subunit ribosomal RNA", at positions 8 to 720 of the family's 1478-position model. The record is from RNAcentral.
UUGAUCCUGCCGGAGGCUACCGCUAUGGAGUUCGAUUAAGCCAUGCGAGUCGAGAGUCCUCGGGACUCGGCGUACCGCUCAGUAACACGUGGGUAACCUGCCCUAUGCUGGGGAAUAACCUCGGGAAACUGAGAAUAAUGCCCCAUAGCCCACUACGCCUGGAACGGUGAGUGGGUCAAAGCUCCGGCGGCAUAGGAUGGGCCUGCGCCGUAUCAGGUUGUAGGGGGUGUAAAGUACCCUCUAGCCAUCAACGCGUACGGGUGUUGGGAGACAUUGCCCGGAGAUGGAUUCUGAGACACGAAUCCAGACCCUACGGGGUGCAGCAGGCGCGAAAACUUGGCAAUGCGAGAAAUCGUGACCAGGGAACUCCAAGUGCGUAGGGUAAGACCUACGCUUUUCUUGACUCUUCAAAGGUCUUGGAAUAAGGGGUGGGUAAGGACGGUGCCAGCCGCCGCGGUAAUACCGGCGCCUCAAGUGGUAGUCGCUUUUAUUGGGCCUAAAACGUCCGUAGCCGGUCUGGUGCAUUCGUGGGUAAAUCAAACCAGCUCAACGGGUUGAAUUCUGCGAGCACGGACAGACUUGGGACCGGGAGAGGUGUGGGGUACUCUCAGGGUAGGGGUAAAAUCCUGUCAUCCUGAGACGACACCUGUUGGAACGCGCACAUAGACGGAUCGACGGCAGGACGAACUAGGGACAA